GUCCACGCGGUAAACGAUGAAUGCUAGGUGUCGGGGAGCAAAGCUCUUCGGUGCCGCCGCAAACGCAUUAAGCAUUCCACCUGGGGAGUACGUUCGCAAGAAUGAAACUCAAAGGAAUUGACGGGGACCCCGCACAAGCGGUGGAGCAUGUGGUUUAAUUCGAAGCAACGCGAAGAACCUUACCAAGUCUUGACAUCCUUCUGACCGGAACUUAACCGUUCCUUCCCUUCGGGGCAGAAGUGACAGGUGGUGCAUGGUUGUCGU
Molecule: ribosomal RNA, 264 nt
Filed under: uncultured bacterium
Lineage: Bacteria
Description: partial 16S ribosomal RNA
Rfam family: Bacterial small subunit ribosomal RNA
Source: RNAcentral